This is a long non-coding RNA of Octopus sinensis (East Asian common octopus), 204 nucleotides long. RefSeq lists it as uncharacterized. The transcript has 3 exons. The record is from RefSeq and is a predicted model, not a curated record. Lineage: Eukaryota; Metazoa; Mollusca; Cephalopoda; Octopoda; Octopodidae.
UUAUGAUUAACUGUGUUUGCGAGAUCGUGGGUUCGAUUCCCAGAGCGGACGUUGUGUUGUGUUCUUAAGCAAGGUACUUCAUUUCACAUUGCUCUGCGAUCAUUUCGUCAUCUGACGUGUGGCAUACGGUGCACCUGUACAGAUAAUGUCGAUUAGAUGAAGGGAGUGAGCUUAUGUAUACACGAACAUUAGAUCACAAUAAAA